GGGCCCGAGCCGCGUCGCACCGCCCCCAGCGCGACCGCCUCCCCGUCCCAUUCGUGCCCUCUGGCCAUCGCCCUCUCUGGUGACGCCCAUCACUGCAAAGACCCUUUUCCUUCAUCGGUGUUUGCUGUUCUUCCUGCCAUUGCGUGUUGCUUUCACUUACACUUUCCACAGCCAGCCUCGUGAGUGCCUGGCCUGGUUUGACCUUUGCUCACCAUGAUUGUGUGACCUUGGUAUCAGCUACUUGGGAAGUUCAACCGUUGUGGCAAAGCUUUGUUUGCGUGCUGUGCUCAACCACCUAUUUUCUAUGGAUGUGUAAGUAAACCACUUUCUUUCUUACACAAUGACACACUCAUACUUAUCACUCACUGCUACUGAUGUGCUCUGUUAGUAUGCAUGCAGGAAACCUGAUGAAUGAAGAAAUGCCCAGACUAGCCAACAUCUCAAUAAAUUAUGAGGUAUGACAUCACUUGAAUGGUUUCCUUGGACUAUGCUUCCAUUAUUCUAAUUCUGUAAUAAAAAGAAAUUUUGUCCAAAAGGACUGUUGUUGUUUUUUCUUCUAAUAAUUAACAUAUUUAACAUAAUUAACAUUCAAUAUGCGCUCAUUACACACGUGCACACUCUUGAUGAUCUGAGAAGCAGAGCUUAAAGGACAGUAGGAGUAGCUGAACAAAGUGUAUUUGUAGGAAAGCCGUAAGAGCUAUUGAAACGCCGUUUUCGCGGGUUGAAAGGUUAGGGUGUCCACCAAAGGUCAGAGGUCAAAUAACAUUUGUAUCUCAAACUGUGACGUCAAAGUCAAGGUCCAAAGAUGGUGUGCGCACCUGUCUUUGGUCAUUUCCCAUUAUAAUGAAUGGGAGGCACAGUUUCUACCAAAACGCUCGCUGCAGACAAACUACAUGUCCUAUUUGAAAAAAGUCUGGACCAUGAGUGAGGGCACAAACACAGCUAGGACAUAUCCAAAUGGCAAGUUGCUCCUCCUUUUGGUUUUAGCGGGAGAGCAAUGCGUUUGAGCCAUUAAGCGAUGGGCUGGAAAAACUUGACUUUUUCUCCUGCCAUGGGGGGGGGCUCUUUUGGGGAGAAAAAAUUCCUUCACAGAUGUGUUGAUGGCUGCACAUUGCAUCAUCCUAGAAAACUUGGAGGCCAGUGAGGACAAAAAUAAAAAGUUAUAAGACUUUUAAAAAUGUGGAUAUUUGGGUCAUCUUUGGCGCCCCCAAGAACCUAAACCGUGGGGUGCAGCGUCAUGAUUUGUACAACUUUGAAUGGCCAUGGGGUGUAGAUUGGCUUGAGCAAAUUUGGUGUCAGUAGAACGAAAGCCUUAGGAGGAGUUAGCCACAUUCCAAUGUGUGCGAAUCGGCAAAAAAUGCAAAAUAGCCCUUUAACCGUACAUUUUACAGAUAUGUGCCCAUUGACUUUUUCGUAGAUCUUAUUGAGAUACACGUGUGUGUCAAAUUUUGUGUCAAUAUGACAAAGCGUAUAGGCAUGACACUGAACAAUGUGUAUUUUCACCUUAGGGGACAAGAAAAAAUGGCCUUUUUUGUCCUGCCAUGGGGGGGCGCUGUUUUGGGGAGUAAAAAUUCCUUCACAAAUGUGUUGAUGGCUGGACAUUGCAUCAUCCUAGAAAACUUGGAGGCCAAUGAGGACAAAAAUAAAAAGUUAUAAGAUUUUUAAGAAUGUGGAUUUGUGGGUUAUCUUUGGCGCCCCCUAGAACGUAAACCGUGGGGUGCAGCGUCAUGAUUUGUACAACUUUCAAUGGCCAUGGGGUGUAGAUUGGCCUGAGCAAAUGUAGUGCUGGUGGAACGAAAGCCUUCGGAGGAGUUAGCGAAAUUCCAAUGUGUGCGGAACGGCAAAAAAUGCGAAAUAACCCUUUAACCGUACAUUUGACAGAUACGCCCGCACUGACUUUUUUGUAGAUCUUAUUGAGAUACAUGUGUGUGUCAAUUUUUGUGUCAAUAUGACAAAGCGUACAGGCGUGACAGUCAAUAGUGUGAAUUUUCACCUUUGGGGGCGCUAUUGAGCCAUUUUGCAUUUUCUUGUUUGGGCGACUUCAGAAUAUCGAAUUUUUCACCAGGCCCGGUCGUCCUGCCAAAUUUCAUGAGUUUUCGCCAGUGGGAAGUGGGCCAUUUUCCAGUUUAAAGCGGAGGAAAAAUAACUAGGACCCCGUUGGGGCACUGGCGGGCCCGAGCCGUGUCGCAUCCCCCCCCCCCCCCCCCAACGUGCUGCCUCCCCGUCCCAUUUGUGUCCUCUGGCCAUCGCCCUCUCUGUUAACGCCCAUCACUGCAAAGACCCUUUUCCUUCAUCGGCGUUUGCUGUUCUUCCUGCCAGUGCGUGUUGCUUUCACUUACACUUGCCACAGCCAGCCUCGUGAGUGCCUAGCCUAUUGGAUAUCACUGUCACCUACACAGGACAGUCAUUACCUUUCUAUUAAUACUUUGUGUUUUAAUUUCACAUUAAUUUCCAUAUUGUAUAAACGACUGGAAAAAACUUGAGCCCCUGCCCCUGUAUAAUCAUGUGCAUGUCUCUGUUCUAGCUCCAAGGUGAAUCUUCACUGCUCAUGUUCUCCUCAGAAGCACUCACCUCACUCCCCUCAGGUUACUGUACACAUGCACCAACUGCCUGCUUCAGGUUUGGAUGGAGCUUCAUGGUUGUCUUUUGGAGAAAUGACCAGUCAAGUUGUGUUUGAAAUUUGAUUUUUUUCAGGGGCAAAAGGAGCCUCUGCAUUCUUGUCAAAUAUGUAAAUAGCAUGUUUUUGCAGGUGCUAAAAACCAGACUCUGAGUGUGUGUGUGUGUGUGUGUGUGUGUGUGUGUGUGUGUGUGUGUGUGUGUGUGUGUGUGUCUAUGUGUGCGUUCAAGUCACAUGACAUAUUUAACCGGAUGUAGCUGCAAGACGGAGCCUCGUUAACUCUCCGUUUCAACUUAUCUCAAAAGUGAGGACCUCAACCUAUAUACCAGUUUUUAAAUUGUGUUGAUAGGCCAAAUAAAACCAGAGUUAUGAUAAAUUAUGUCCGCGAUACUUUUUUUCUGCUUAUUUUGAUCACGUUCGGCGCUCGAUCACGCUGUAUGAGACAGGAAAACAUAGCAUGCACACAUUAGCGACAGGUCUUACAGGCGGAAAAGGCUUGCCAAAAGAAAAAAAAAACACACCACAACAUCUCUCCUAUUGGUGGAAAACUUCACCACAACAACCAAUCCAAAAUUAUAUGGUGACUGAUUGACAAGGGGCGGGCGCUUACGUUCUUCCUGCAACAUGAGAAGGGAGGGAGGGACUCUCAGCAGGGAUGCAGUCUGGGACACGUAGUUGCAAACCUAGCGACUUUGUUGUUAGAUUCAAUUACUUUUCAGACCCCCUAACGACUUUUUUUAGAAAGAAAGGGACUUUUAUCGACUUCUUCUGGAGUUUAGAGACUCUGACAUGAAGCAGGCUUUCCUUACUGAGGAGUUAGCAACGCUGCUAAGGGUGCAGAGCCACACAUGCGCUCCGAGCUCUGCAUGGGAGACUGAAGCUGACAGAGCUGCAGCAGUUAGCAGGUUUCACCCUCAGAGACCACCAGGGGUUCAUGUUGAGGCAUUUUCAGUUUUUGUUUUUUUUGCCAUAGACUGUCAGCACAAUCUGCAGUUACACUAACAAAAAUGCUGCAAAAAACAAAGAAUUAUGGAAAAAUUACACAUGGACUGACAUAGAGGAGGAUCUACACAAGUUUUUUACAUCAUGUUUUACAUCAUGCAUCAUUUACAUCAUGUUUUUUUGUAGUGGCAUAAAUAAAAAGUGACAUUUGUGAGACUAUACAGUGUUUUGUAAAUAAUUUUACAAAGAACGCCUGGGCCAUUGCCUGCAUUUUGAUGUAAAUAGAGGUAAAUUACUAUGUUCUUUGUUAAAAAUUUGCAUAUGUUUUGAAGUUUACAAUUUUUAUUUGAAGUUUAAGUUUUAAAAACAGUUCAUCACACAUAUUUGUGUUUUAAUUUCACAUUAAUUUCCAUAUUGUAUAAAUGACUGGAAAAAACUUGAGCCCCUGCCCCUGUAUUAUCAUGUGCACGUCCCUGUUCUAGCUCCAAGGUGAAUCUUCACUGCUCAUGUUCUCCUCAGAAAUAGUCACCUCACUCCCCUCAGGUUACUGUACACAUGCACCAACUAUCUGCUUCAGGUUUGGAUAGAGCUUCAUGGUUGUCUUUUGGAGAAAUGAACAGUCAAGUUGUGUUUGAAAUCUGAUUUUUUUCAGGGGCAAAAGGAAGCCUCUGCAUUCUUGUCAAAUAUGUAAACAGCAUGUUUUUGCAGGUGCUAAAAAACAGACUCUGAGUGUGUGUGUGUGUGUGUGUGUGUGUGUGUGUGUGUGUGUGUGUGUGUGUGUAUGUGUGUGUAUCCUGCAGUACUCUGUACUCCUGCAGUGGCCAAAAAGACUUUUAAGAAUGUGGAUUUUUGGGUCAUCUUUGGCGCCCCCUAGAACUGCAGUACUCUGUACUCCUGCAGUGGCCAAAAUGACUUUUAAGAAUGUGGAUUUUUGGGUCAUCUUUGGUGCCCCCUAGAACGUAAACCGUGGGGUGCAGCGUCAUGAUUUUUACAACUUUGAAUGGGCAUGGGGUGUAGAUUGCCCUGAGCAAAUUUGGUAUCGGUGGGACGAAAGCCUUAGGAGGAGAUAGCCACAUUCCAAUGUGUGCGAAUCGGCAAAAAAUGCGAAAUAGCCCUUUAACCGUACAUUAUACAGAUACGCGCUUUUUGACUUUUUCGUAGAUCUAAUUGAGAUACACGUGAUUGUCAAUUUUUGUGUCAAUAUGACAAAGCGUUCAGGCAUGACACUCAACAAUGUGUAUUUUCAUGUAAGGGGACAAGAAAAAAUUGACUUUUUUCUCCUGCCAUGGGGGGGCGCUCUUUUGGGGAGUAAAAAUUCCUUCACAAAUGUGUUGAUGGCUGGACAUUGCAUCAUCCUAGAAAACUUGGAGGGCAGUGAGGACAAAAAUAAAAAGUUAUAAGACUUUUAAGAAUGUGGAUUUUGGGUUAUCUUUGGCGCCCCCUAGAACGUAAACCGUGGGGUGCAUCGUCAUGAUUUGUACAACUUUUAAUGGCCAUGGGAGGUAGAUUGGCCUGCGCAAAUGUGGUGCCGGUCGAACGGAAAGCCUUCGGAGGAGUUAGCGAAAUUCCAAUGUGUGCAGAUCUGCAAAAAAUGCAAAAUAACCCAUUAACCGUACAUUUGACAGAUACGCCCGUACUGACUUUUUUAUAGAUCUUAUUGAGAUACAUGUGUGUGUCAAUUUUUGUGUCAAUAUGACAAAGCGUACAGCCGUCAUGUGAAUUUUCACCUUAGGGGGCGCUAUGGAGCCAUUUUGCAUUUUAUUGUUUGGGCGACUUCAGAAUAUCGAAUUUUUCACCAGGCCCGGUCGUCCUGCCAAAUUUCCUGAGUUUUCGCCAGUGGGAAGUGGGCCAUUUUCCAGUUUAAAGCGGAGGAAAAAUAAUAACGAACUAGGGCCCCGGUGGGGCACUGGCGGGCCCGAGCCGUGUCACGCCGCCCCCAGCGCGACCGCCUACCCCUCCCGAUCGCGUCACACUCAAGGUCCAAAGAUGGUGUGCGCACUUGUCUGUGGUCAUUUACCAUUAUAAUGAAUGGGAGGCGCAGUUUCUACCAAAACACUCGCUGCAGACAAACUCCAUGUCCUUUUUGAAAAAAGUCUGGACCAUGAGUGAGGGCACAAACACAGCUAGUAUAUAUCCAAAUGGCAAGUUGCUCCUCCUUUCGGUUUUGCCGAGAAAGCGAUGCGUUUGAGCCAUUGAGCGAUGGGCAGGAAAAACUUGACUUUUUCUCCUGACAUGGGGGGCGCUCUUUUGGGGAGAAAAAUUCCUUCACAAAUGUGUUGAUGGCUGGACAUUGCAUCAUCCUAGAAAACUUGGAGGCCAGUGAGGACAAAAAUAAAAAGUUAUAAGACUUUUAAAAAUGUGGAUAUUUGGGUCCUCUUUGGCGCCCCCUAGAACGUAAGCCAUGGGGUGCAGCGUCAUGAUUUUUACAACUUUGAAUGGCCAUGGGGUGUAGAUUGGCCUGAGCAAAUUUGGUGUCAGUGGGACGAAAGCCUUAGGAGGAGUUAGCCACAUUCCUAUGUGUGCGAAUCGGCAAAAAAUGCGAAAUAGCCCUUUAACCGUACAUUUUACAGAUACGCGCGCAUUGACUUUUUCGUAGAUCUUAUUGAGAUACACGUGAUUGUCAAAUUUUGUGUCAAUAUGACAAAGCGUACAGGCGUGACAUUCAACAAUGUGUAUUUUCACCUUAGGGGACAAGAAAAAAUUGACUUUUUUGUCCUGCCAUGGGGGGGCGCUCUUUUGGGGAGUAAAGAUUCCUUCACAAAUGUGUUGAUGGCUGGACAUUGCAUCAUCCUAGAAAACUUGGAGGCCAGUGAGGGCAAAAAUAAAAAGUUAUAAAACUUUUAAGAAUGUGGAUUUUAGGGUUAUUUUUGGCGCCCCCUAGAACCUAAACCAUGGGGUGCAGCAUCAUGAUUUGUACAACUUUGAAUGGCCAUGGAGUGUAGAUUGGCCUGAGCAAAUGUGGUGCCGGUGGACCGAAAGCCUUCGGAGGAGUUAGCGAAAUUCCAAUGUGUGCGGAUCUGCAAAAAAUGCGAAAUAACCCCUUUAACCGUACAUUUGACAGAUACGCCCGCACUGACUUUUUUGUAGAUCUUAUUGAGAUACAUGUGUGUGUCAAUUUUUGUGUCAAUAUGACAAAGCGUACAGGCGUGACAGUCAAUAGUGUGAAUUUUCACCUUAGGGGGCGCUAUGGAGCCAUUUUGUAUUUUAUUGUUUGGGCGACUUCAGAAUAUCGAAUUUUUCACCAGGCCCGGUCGUCCUGCCAAAUUUCCUGAGUUUUCGCCAGUGGGAAGUGGGCCAUUUUCCAGUUUAAAGCGGAGGAAAAAUAAUAAUAAUAACUAGGGCCCCGUUGGGGCACUGGCGGGCCCGAGCCGUGUCGCGCCCGCCCCCAGCGCGACCGCCUACCCCUCUUGAUCGCGUCACACUCAAGGUCCAAAGAUGGUGUGCGCACUUGUCUGUGGUCAUUUACCAUUAUAAUGAAUGGGAGGCGCAGUUUCUACCAAAACGCUCGCUGCAGACAAACUCCAUGUCCUUUUUGAAAAAAGUCUGGACCAUGAGUGAGGGCACAAACACAGCUAGUAUAUAUCCAAAUGGCAAGUUGCUCCUCCUUUCGGUUUUGCCGAGAGAGCGAUGCUUUUGAGCCAUUGAGCGAUGGGCAGGAAAAACUUGACUUUUUCUCCUGCCAUGGGGGGGCGCUCUUUUGGGGAGAAAAAAUUCCUUCACAAAUGUGUUGAUGGCUGGACAUUGCAUCAUCCUAGAAAACUUGGAGGCCAGUGAGGACAAAAAUAAAAAGUUAUAAGACUUUUAAAAAUGUGGAUAUUUGGGUCCUCUUUGGCACCCCCUAGAACGUAAACCGUGGGGUGCAGCGUCAUGAUUUGUACAACUUUUAAUGGCCAUGGGGUGUAGAUUGGCCUGAGCAAAUUUGAAGCCGAUGGGACAAAAGCUUUAGGAGGAGUUAGCCACAUUCCAAUGUGUGCGAAUCGGCAAAAAAUGCGAAAUAGCCCUUUAACCGUACAUUGAACAGAUACGCUCGCAUUGACUUUUUCGUAGAUCUUAUUGAGAUACAUGUGUGUGUCAAAUUUUGUGUCAUUUUGACAAAGCGUAAAGGCGUGACAGUCAACAAUGUGUAUUUUCGCCUUAGGAGACAAGAAAAAAUGGACUUUUUUCUCCUGCCAUGGGGGGCGCUCUUUUGGCGAGUAAAAAUUCCUUCACAAAUGUGUUGAUCGCUGGACAUUGCAUCAUCCUAGAGAACUUGGAGGCCAGUGAGGACAAAAAUAAAAAGUUAUAAGACUUUUAAGACUGUGGAUUUUUGGGUUAUCUUUGGCGCCCCCUAGAACGUAAACCGUGGGGUGCAGCGUCAUGAUUUGUACAACUUUUAAUGGCCAUGGGGUGUAGAUUGGCCUGAGCAAAUGUGGUGCCGUUGGAACGAAAGCCUUCGGAGGAGUUAGCGAAAUUCCAAUGUGUGCGGAUCGGCAAAAAAUGCGAAAUAACCCUUUAACCGUACAUUUGACAGAUACGCCCGCACUGACUUUUUUGUAGAUCUUAUUGAGAUACAUGUGUGUGUCAAAUUUUGUGUCAUUUUGACAAAGCGUAAAGGCGUGACAGUCAACGAUGUGUAUUUUCGCCUUAGGAGACAAGAAAAAAUUGACAUUUUUCUCCUGCCAUGGGGGGGCGCUCUUUUGGCGAGUAAAAAUUCCUUCACAAAUGUGUUGAUGGCUGGACAUUGCAUCAUCCUAGAGAACUUGGAGGCCAGUGAGGACAAAAAUAAAAAGUUAUAAGACUUUUAAGACUGUGGAUUUUUGGGUUAUCUUUGGCGCCCCCUAGAACGUAAACCGUGGGGUGCAGCGUCAUGAUUUGUACAACUUUUAUUGGCCAUGGGGUGUAGAUUGGCCUGAGCAAAUGUGGUGCCGGUGGAACGAAAACCUUCGGAGGAGUUAGCGAAAUUCCAAUGUGUGCGGAUCGGCAAAAAAUGCGAAAUAAACCUUUAACCAUACAUUUGACAGAUACGCCCGCACUGACUUUUUUGUAGAUCUUAUUGAGAUACACGUGUGUGUCAAAUUUUGUGUCAUUUUGACAAAGCGUACAGGCGUGACACUCAAUCAUGUGAAUUUUUCACCUUAGGGGGCGCUAUGGAGCCAUUUUGCAUUUGAUUUUUUGGGCGACUUCAGAAUAUCGAAUUUUUCACCAGGCCCGGUCGUCCUGCCAAAUUUCAUGACUUUUCACCAGUGGGAAGUGGGCCAUUUUCCAGUUCAAAGGGGCAGAAAAAUAAUAACUAGGACCCCGUUGGGGCACUGGCGGGCCCGAGCUGUGUCGCGCCCCCCCCCCCCAACGCGCUGCCUCCCCGUCCCAUUUGUGUCCUCUGGCCAUCGCCCUCUCUGGUAACGCCCAUCACUGCAAAGACCCUUUUCCUUCAUCUGCGUUUGCUGUUCUUCCUGCCAGUGCGUGUUGCUUUCACUUACACUUGCCACAGCCAGCCUCGUGAGUGCCUAGCCUAUUGGAUAUUACUGUCACCUACACAGGACAGUCAUUACCUUUCUAUUAAUACUUUGUUUUUUAAUUUCACAUUAAUUUCCAUAUUGUAUAAACAACUGGAAAAAACUUGAGCCCCUGCCCCUGUAUAAUCAUGUGCACGUCUCUGUUCUAGCUCUAAGGUGAAUCUUCACUGCUCAUGUUCUCCUCAGAAGCAGUCACCUCACUCCCCUCAGGUUACUGUACACAUGCACCAACUGCCUGCUUCAGGUUUGGAUGGAGCUUCAUGGUUGUCUUUUGGAGAAAUGACCAGUCAAGUUGUGUUUGAAAUUUGAUUUUUUUCAGGGGCAAAAGGAGCCUCUGCAUUCUUGUCAAAUAUGUAAAUAGCAUGUUUUUGCAGGUGCUAAAAACCAGACUCUGAGUGUGUGUGUGUGUGUGUGUGUGUGUGUGUGUCUGUGUGUGUGUGUGUGUGUGUGUGUGUGUGUGCGUUCAAGUCACAUGACAUAUUUAACCGGAUGUAGCUGCAAGACGGAGCCUCGUUGACUCUCCGUUUCAAUUUAUCUCAAAAGUGAGGACCUCAACCUAUAUACCAGUUUUUAAAUUGUGUUGAUAGGCCAAAUAAAACCAGAGUUAUGAUAAAUUAUGUCCGCGAUACUUGUUUUCUGCUUAUUUUGAUCACGUUCGGCGCUCGAUCGCGCUGUAUGAGACAGGAAAACAUAGCAUGCAGACAUUAGCGACAGGUCUUACAGGCGGAAAAGGCUUGCCAAAGGAAAAAAAAAACACACCACAACAUCUCUCCUAUUGGUGGAAAACUUCACCACAGCAACCAAUCCAAAAUUAUAUGGUGACUGAUUGACAAGGGGCGGGAACUUACGUUCUUCCUGCAAUAUGAGAAGGGAGGGAGGGACUCUCAGCAGGGAUGCAGUCUGGGACACGUAGUUGCAAACCUAGCGACUUUGUUGUUAGAUUCAAUGACUUUUCAGACCCCCUAACGCCUUUUUUUUAGAAAGAAAGUGACUUUUAUCGACUUCUUCUGGAGUUUAGAGACUCUGACAUGAAGCAGGCUUUCCUUACUGAGGAGUUAGCAACGCUGCUAAGGGUGCAGAGCCACACAUGCGCUCCGAGCUCUGCAUGGGAGACUGAAGCUGACAGAGCUGCAGCAGUUAGCAGGUUUCACCCUCAGAGACCACCAGGGGUUCAUGUUGAGGCAUUUUCAGUUUUUUUUUUUUUUUUUUGCCAUAGACACUGUCAGCACAAUCUGCAGUUACACUAACAAAAAUGCUGCAAAAAACAAAGAAUUAUGGAAAAAUUACACAUGGACUAACAUAGAGGAGGAUCUACACAAGUUUUUUACAUCAUGUUUUACAUCAUGCAUCAUUUACAUCAUGUUUUUUUGUAGUGGCAUAAAUGAAAAGUGACAUUUGUGAGACUAUACAGUGUUUUGUAAAUAAUUUUACAAAGAACACCUGGGCCAUUGCCUGCAUUUUGAUGUCAAUAGAGGUAAAUUACUAUGUUCUUUGUUAAAAAUUUGCAUAUGUUUUGAAGUUUACAAUUUUUAUUUGAAGUUUAAGUUUUAAAAACAGUUCAUCACACAUAUUUGUGGUUUUCACAGUAAAAACGUUACUUUUUUCCACUCGGAUUUUAUGUUUUGUGUGUGAAUUUGGGUCCAAUGUGUAAAUAUAGUAUGUCAAAAUGAUAAAAUAACUGUAAAUUGACACAGGUGAGGUUGUGCUGAAAAAAAUGAUACCAGGCAAGGCAAGGUAAAAAUUUUGUAAGAGGAAAUAUAAAGGUAAAAUCUAAAGUAGUCAAAAACGGCCAAUAGUGACUCACAGACUCCACAGACAAGUCCCUUUGGCGCCACUCAGUGGGCAAAACUACUUUGUCUACUGUAAUGUAUAUUUGGGUCAUCUUUGGCGCCCCCUAAAACGUAAACCGUGGGGUGCAGCGUCAUGAUUUUUACAACUUUGAAUGGCCAUGGAGUGUAGAUUGGCCUGAGCAAAUUUGGUGUCAGUGGGACGAAAGCCUUAGGAGGAGUUAGCGAAAUUCCAAUGUGUGCGAAUCGGCAAAAAAUGCAAAAUAGCCCUUUUACCGUACAUUAUACAGAUACGCGCUCUUUGACUUUUUCGUAGAUCUAAUUGAGAUACACAUGAUUGUCAAUUUUUGUGUCAUUUUGCCAAAGCGUACAGGCGUGACAGUCAACAAUGUGUAUUUUCACCUUAGGGGACAAGAAAAAAUGGACUUUUUUCUCCUGCCAUGGGGGGGCACUCUUUUAGGGAGUAAAAAUUCCUUCACAAAUGUGUUGAUGGCUGGACAUUGCAUCAUCCUAGAAAACUUGGAGGCCAGUGAGGACAAAAAUAAAAAGUUAUAAGACUUUUAAAAAUGUGGAUUUUUGGGUUAUCUUUGGCGCCCCCUAGAACGUAAACCGUGGGGUGCAGCGUCAUGAUUUGAAUAACUUUUAAUGGCCAUGGGGUGUAAUUUGGCCUGAGCAAAUGUGGUGCCGGUGGAACGAAAGCCUUAGGAGGAGUUAGCGAAAUUCCAAUGUGUGCGAAUCGGCAAAAAAUUGCGGAAUAACCCUUUAACCGUACAUUUGACAGAUACGCGCGCACUGACUUUUUUGUAGAUCUUAUUGAGAUACAUGUGUGUGUCAAUUUUUGUGUCAUUUUGACAAAGCGUACAGGCGUGACACUCAACAAUGUGUAUUUUCACCUUAGGGGACAAGAAAAAAUGGACUUUUUUCUCCUGCCAUGGGGGGGCGCUCUUUUGGGGAGUAAAAAUUCCUUCACAAAUGUGUUGAUGGCUGGACAUUGCAUCAUCCUAGAAAACUUGGAGGCCAGUGAGGGCAAAAAUAAAAAGUUAUAAGACUUUUAAAUAUGUGGAUUUUAGGGUUAUCUUUGGCGCCCCCUAGAACCUAAACCGUGGGGUGCAGCGUCAUGAUUUGAAUAACUUUUAAUGGCCAUGGGGUGUAGAUUGGCCUGAGCAAAUGUGGUGCCGGUGGAACGAAAGCCUUCGGAGGAGUUAGCGAAAUUCCAAUGUGUGCGGAUCGGCAAAAAAUGCGAAAUAACCCUUUAACCGUACAUUUGACAGAUACGCCCGCACUGACUUUUUUGUAGAUCUUAUUGAGAUACAUGUGUGUGUCAAUUUUUGUGUCAUUUUGACAAAGCGUACAGGCGUGACACUCAAUAGUGUGAAUUUUCACCUUAGGGGGCGCUAUGGAGCCAUUUUGCAUUUUCUUGUUUGGGCGACUUCGGAAUAUCAAAUUUUUCACCAGGCCCAGUCGUCCUGCCAAAUUUCCUGAGUUUUCGCCAGUGGGAAGUGGGCCAUUUUCCAGUUCAAAGGGGAGGAAAAAGAAAAAAGAAACAAAGAAAAACCACUUGGGGAAUAAUAGGGCUCUCGCAGCUGCUUAGCAGCUACGCUCGGGCCCUAAUAAGAAGAAGAAGAAAGAAGAAUCCAUCAGGAAUAAUAGGGCUCUCGCAGCUGCUUAGCAGCUACGCUCGGGCCCUAAUAACAAAAGAAGAAUCCAUCAGGAACAAGAGGGCUCUCGCAGCUGCUUAGCAGCUACGCUCGGGCCCUAAUAAUUAGGGCCCCGGUGGGGCACUGGCGGGCCUGAGCCGUGUCGCGCCGCCCCCAGCGCGAACGCCUCCCCCACCCAAUCGCGUCACACUCAAGGUCCAAAGAUGGUGUGCGCACUUGUCUGUGGUCAUUUACCAUUAUAAUGAAUGGGAGGCGCAGUUUCUACCAAAACGCUCGCUGCAGAAAAACUCCAUGUCCUAUUUGAAAAAAGUCUGGACCAUGAGUGAGGGCACAAACACAGCUAAGAUAUAUCCAAAUGGCAAGUUGCUCCUCCUUUCGCUUUUGCCGAGAGAGCGAUGCGUUUGAGCCAUUGAACGAUGAACAGGAAAAACUUGACUUUAUUCUCCUGGCAUGGGGGGGGCGCUCUUUUAACGAGAAAAAACUCCUUCACAAAUGUGUUGAUGGCUGGACAUUGCAUCAUCCUAGAAAACAUGGAGGCCAGUGAGGACAAAAAUAAAAUGUUAUAACACUUUUAAGAAUAUGGAUAUUUGGGUCAUCUUUGGCGCCCCCUAGAACUUAAACCGUGGGGUGCAGCGUCAUGAUUUUUACAACUUUGAAUGGCCAUGGGGUGUAGAUUGGCCUGAGCAAAUGUGGUGCCGGUGGAGCGAAAGCCUUCGGAGGAGUUAGCUACAUUCCAAUGUGUGCGAAUCGGCAAAAAAUGCGAAAUAGCCCUUUAACCGCACAUUUGACAGAUACGCCUGCAUUUACUUUUUCGUAGAUCUUAUUGAGAUACACGUGUGUGUUGAAUUUUGUGUCAUUUUGACAAAGCGUACAGGCAUGACACUCAACAAUGUGUAUUUUCACCUUAGGGGACAAGAAAAAAUGGACUUUUUUCUCCUGCCAUGGGGGGGCGCUCUUUUGGGGAGUAAACAUUCCUUCACAAAUGUGUUGAUGGCUGGACAUUGCAUCAUCCUAGAAAACUUGGAGGCCAGUGAGGACAAAAAUAAAAAGUUAUAAGACUUUUAAAAAUGUGGAUAUUUGGGUCCUCUUUGGCGCCCCCUAGAACAUAGACCGUGGGGUGCAGCGUCAUGAUUUUUACAACUUUGAAUGGCCAUGGAGUGUAGAUUGGCCUGAGCAAAUUUGGUGUCAGUGGGACGAAAGCCUUAGGAGGAGUUAGCCACAUUCCAAUGUGUGCGAAACGGCAAAAAAUGCGAAAUAGCCCUUUAACCGUACAUUUUACUGAUACGCGCGCAUUGACUCUUUCGUAGAUCUUAUUGAGAUACACGUGAUUGUCAAAUUUUGUGUCAAUAUGACGAAGCGUACAGGCGUGACAUUCAACAAUGUGUAUUUUCGCCUUAGGGGACUAGAAAAAAUGGACUUUUUUCUCCUGCCAUGGGGGGGCGCUCUUUUGGUGAGUAAAAAUUCCUUCACAAAUGUGUUGAUGGCUGGACAUUGCAUCAUCCUAGAGAACUUGGAGGCCAGUGAGGACAAAAAUAAAAAGUUAUAAGACUUUUAAGAAUGUGGAUUUUUGGGUUAUUUUUGGCGCCCCCUAGAACGUAAACCGUGGGGUGCAGCAUCAUGAUUUGUACAACUUUUAAUGGCCAUGGGGUGUAGAUUGGCCUGAGCAAAUUUGGUGCCGGUGGAACGAAAGCCUUCGGAGGAGUUAGCGAAAUUCCAAUGUGUGCGGAUCGGCAAAAAAUGCGAAAUAGCCCUUUAACCGUACAUUUGACAGAUACGCCCGCACUGACUUUUUUGUAGAUCUUAUCGAGAUACACAUGUGUGUCAAAUUUUGUGUCAUUUUGACAAAGCGUACAGGCGUCAGGUGAGUUUUCACCAUAGGGGGCGCUAUGGAGCCAUUUUUCAUUUUUUUGUUUGGGCGACUUCAGAAUAUCAAAUUUUUCACCAGGCCCGGUCGUCCUGCCAAAUUUCCUGAGUUUUCGCCAGUGGGAAGUGGGCCAUUUUCCAGUUUAAAGCGGAGGAAAAAUAACGAAAGAAGAAUCCAUCAGGAACAAGAGGGCUCUCGCAGCUGCUUAGCAGCUACGCUCGGGCCCUAAUAAUAACAAAAGAAGGAAACAUGCAGGAACAAGAGGGCUCUCGCAGCUGCUUAGCAGCUACGCUCGGGCCCUAAAGAAACAAAGAAAAACCACUACAGGAACAAUAGGGCCUCGCAGCUGCUUAGCAGCUACGCUCGGGCCCUAACUAGGGCCCCGUUGGGGCACUGGCGGGCCCGAGCUGUGUCGCGCCGACCCCAACACGACCGCCUCUCCCUCCCGAUCGCGUCACACUCAAGGUCCAAAGAUGGUGUGCGCACUUGUCUGUGGUCAUUUACAUUAUAAUGAAUUGGAGGCGCAGUUUCUACCAAAACGCUCGCUGCAGACAAACUACAUGUCCUAUUUGAAAAAAGUCUGGACCAUGAGUGAGGGCACAAACACAGCUAGGAUAUAUCCAAAUGGCAAGUUGCUCCUCCUUUCGGUUUUGCUGAGAGAGCGAUGUGUUUGAGCCAUUGAGCGAUGGGCAGGAAAAACUUGACUUUUUCUCCUGCCAUGGGGGGGCACUCUUUUAGGGAGAAAAAAUUCCUUCACAAAUGUGUUGAUGGCUGGACAUUGCAUCAUCCUAGAAAACUUGGAAGCCUUAGGAGGAGUUAGCCACAUUCCAAUGUGUGCAGAUCGGCAAAAAAUGCGGAAUAACCCUUUAACCGUACAUUUGACAGAUACGAGCGCAUUGACUUUUUCGUAGAUCUUAUUGAGUUACAUGUGUGUGUCAAUUUUUGUGUCAUUUUGACAAAGCGUAUAGGCGUGACACUCAACAAUGUGUAUUUUCACCUUAGGGGACAAGAAAAAAUGGACUUUUUUCUCCUGCCAUGGGGGGGCGCUCUUUUGGGGAGUAAAAAUUCCUUCACAAAUGUGUUGAUGGCUGGACAUUGCAUCAUCCUAGAAAACUUGGAGGCCAGUGAGGACAAAAAUAAAAAGUUAUGACUUUUAAAUAUGUGGAUUUUAGUGUUAUCUUUGGCGCCCCCUAGAACCUAAACCUUGGGGUGCAGCGUCAUGAUUUUGAUAACUUUUAAUGGCCACGGGGUGUAGAUUGGCCUGAGCAAAUGUGGUGCCGGUGGAACGAAAGCCUUCGGAGGAGUUAGCGAAAUUCCAAUGUGUGCGGAUCGGCAAAAAAUGCGAAAUAACCCUUUAACCGUAAUUUUGACAGAUACGGCCGCACUGACUUUUUUGUAGAUCUUAUUGAGAUACAUAUGUGUGUCAAUUUUUGUGUCAAUAUGACAAAGCGUACAGGCGUGACAGUCAAUAGUGUGAAUUUCCACCUUAGGGGGCGCUAUGGAGCCAUUUUGCAUUUUAUUGUUUGGGCGACUUCAGAAUAUCGAAUUUUUCACCAGGCCCGGUCGUCCUGCCAAAUUUCAUGAGUUUUCGCCAGUGGGAAGUGGGCCAUUUUCCAGUUCAAAGGGGAGGAAAAAGAAGAAAGAAAGAAAGAAAGAAAGAAAGAAACAAAGAAAAACCACUUGAGGAACAACAGGGCCUACGCCCGGCUGCUCUGCAGCCGGCUCGGGCCCUAACUAGGGCCCCGUUGGGGCACUGGCGGGCCCGAGCCGCGUCGCACCGCCCCCAGCGCGACCGCCUCCCUGAUCCAUUAGGUUUAAAUAGAAAAAGCAUUAAAAUAUGUUAGGAUUAUAGCAUAUGACAAAUGUGUGCCUCUCAUUGGCCAUAACUACUUUGUCUGCUGGCUCUGCAGUCGAUUGACGCUCCCCAGCGUUCAAGUCACAUGACAAAUUUAACCGGAUGUAGCUGCAAGACGGAGCCUCGUUGACUCUCCGUUUCAACUUAUCUCAAAAGUGAGGACCUCAACCUAUAUACCAGUUUUUAAAUUGUGUUGAUAGGCCAAAUAAAACCAGAGUUAUGAUAAAUUAUGUCCGCGAUACUUUUUUUCUGCUUAUUUUGAUCACGUUCGGCGCUCGAUCGCGCUGUAUGAGACAAGAAAACAUAGCAUGCAGACAUUAGCGACAGGUCUUACAGGCGGAAAAGGCUUGCCAAAAGAAAAAAAAAACACACCACAACAUCUCUCCUAUUGGUGGAAAACUUCACCACAACAACCAAUCCAAAAUUAUAUGGUGACUGAUUGACAAGGGGCGGGCGCUUACGUUCUUCCUGCAACAUGAGAAGGGAGGGAGGGACUCUCAGCAGGGAUGCAGUCUGGGACACGUAGUUGCAAACCUAGCGACUUUGUUGUUAGAUUCAAUGACUUUUCAGACCCCCUAACAACUUUUUUUUUGAAAGAAAGGGACUUUUAUCGACUUCUUCUGGAGUUUAGAGACUCUGACAUGAAGCAGGCUUUCCUUACUGAGGAGUUAGCAACGCUGCUAAGGGUGCAGAGCCACACAUGUGCUCUGAGCUCUGCAUGGGAGACUGAAGCUGACAGAGCUGCAGCAGUUAGCAGGUUUCACCCUCAGAGACCACCAGGGGUUCAUGUUGAGGCAUUUUCAGUUUGUUUUAUUGUUUUUUUUGCCAUAGACACUGUCAGCACAAUCUGCAGUUACACUCACAAAAAUGCUGGACAAAACAAAGAAUUAUGGAAAAAUUACACAUGGACUAACAUAGAGGAGGAUCUACACAAGUUUUUUACAUCAUGUUUUACAUCAUGCAUCAUUUACAUCAUGUUUUUUUUGUAGUGGCAUAAAUAAAAAGUGACAUUUGUGAGACUAUACAGUGUUUUGUAAAUAAUUUUACAAAGAACGCCUGGGCCAUUGCCUGCAUUUUGAUGUAAAUAGAGGAAAAUUACUAUGUUCUUUGUUAAAAAUUUGCAUAUGUUUUGAAGUUUACAAUUUUUAUUUGAUGUUUAAGUUUUAAAAACAGUUCAUCACACAUAUUUGUGGUUUUCACAGUAAAAAUGUUACUUUUUUCCACUCGGAUAUUAUGUUUUGUGUGUGAAUUUGGGUCCAUUGUGUAAAAACAGUAUGUGAAAAUGAUAAAAUAACUGUAAAUUCACACAGGUGAGGUUGUGCUGAAAAAAAUGAUACCAGGCAAGGCAAGGUAAAAAAAUUUUAAGAGGAAAUAUAAAGGUAAAAUCUAAAGUAGUCAAAAACGGCCAAUAGUGACUCCCAGUCUCCAUAGACAAGUCCCUUUGGCGCCACUCAGUGGGCAAAACUACUUUGUCUGCUGUAAUGUAUAUUUUGGUCAUCUUUGGCGCCCCCUAGAACGUAAACCGUGGGGUGCAGCGUCAUGAUUUUUACAACUUUGAAUGGCCAUGGGUUGUAGAUUGGCCUGAGCAAAUUUGGUGUCAUUGGGACGAAAGCCUUAGGAGGAGUUAGUCACAUUCCAAUGUGUGCGAAUCGGCAAAAAAUGCAAAAUAGCCCUUUUACCGUACAUUAUACACAUACGCGCUCUUUGACUUUUUUGUAGAUCUUAUUGAGAUACACGUGUGUGUCAAAUUUUGUGUCAAUAUGACAAAGCGUUCAGGCGUGACACUCAACAAUGUGUAUUUUCACGUUAGGGGACAAGAAAAAAUGGACUUUUUUCUCCUGCCAUGGGGGGGGCGCUCUUUUGGCGAGUAAAAAUUCCUUCACAAAUGUGUUGAUGGCUGGACAUUGCAUCACCCUAGAAAACUUGGAGGCCAGUGGGGACAACAAUAAAAAGUUAUAAGACUUUUAAAUAUGUGGAUUUUAGGGUUAUCUUUGGCGCCCCCUAGAACCUAAACCGUGGGGUGCAGCGUCAUGAUUUGAAUAACUUUUAAUGGCCAUGGAGUGUAGAUUGGCCUGAGCAAAUGUGGUGCCGGUGGAACAAAAGCCUUCAGAGGAGUUAGCGAAAUUCCAAUGUGUGCGGAUCGGCAAAAAAUGCGAAAUAACCCUUUAACCGUACAUUUGACAGAUACGCCCGCACUGACUUUUUCGUAGAUCUUAUUGAGUUACAUGUGUGUGUCAAUUUUUGUGUCAUUUUGACAAAGCGUAUAGGCGUGACACUCAACAAUGUGUAUUUUCACCUUAGGGGACAAGAAAAAAUGGACUAUUUUCUCCUGCCAUGGGGGGGCGCUCUUUUGGGGAGUAAAAAUUCCCUCACAAAUGUGUUGAUGGCUGGACAUUGCAUCAUCCUAGAAAACUUGGAGGCCAGUGAGGACAAAAAUAAAAAGUUAUAAGACUUUGAAAUAUGUGGAUUUUAGGGUUAUCUUUGGCGCCCCCUAGAACCUAAACCGUGGGGUGCAGCGUCAUGAUUUGAAUAACUUUUAAUGGCCAUGGGGUGUAGAUUGGCCUGAGCAAAUGUGGUGCCGGUGGAACGAAACCCUUCGGAGGAGUUAGCGAAAUUCCAAUGUGUGUGGAUCAGCAAAAAAUGCGAAAUAACCCUUUAACCGUACAUUUGACAGAUACGCCCGCACUGACUUUUUUGUAGAUGUUAUUGAGAUACAUAUGUGUGUCAAUUUUUGUGUCAAUAUGACAAAGCGUACAGGCGUGACAGUCAAUAGUGUGAAUUUCCACCUUAGGGGGCGCUAUGGAGCCAUUUUGCAUUUUAUUGUUUGGGCGACUUCAGAAUAUCAAAUUUUUCACCAGGCCCGGUCGUCCUGCCAAAUUUCAUGAGUUUUCGCCAGUGGGAAGUGGGCCAUUUUCCAGUUCAAAGGGGAGGAAAAAGAAGAAAGAAAGAAAGAACUAGGGCCCCGGUGGGGCACUGUCGGGCCCGAGCCGCGUCGCGCCGCCCCCAGCGCGACCGCCUCCCCCUCCCGAUCGCGUCACACUCAAGGUCCAAAGAUGGUGUGCGCACUUGUCUGUGGUCAUUUCCCAUUAUAAUGAAUGGAGGCGCAGUUUCUACCAAAACACUCGCUGCAGACAAACUACAUGUCCUAUUUGACAAAAGUCUGGACCAUGAGUGAGGGCACAAACACAGCUAGGAUAUAUCCAAAUGGCAAGUUGCUCCUCCUUACGGUGUUGCUGGGAGAGCGAUGC
This 19463-nucleotide long non-coding RNA is filed under the name Xyrichtys novacula (pearly razorfish). The record is from RNAcentral. Lineage: Eukaryota; Metazoa; Chordata; Actinopteri; Labriformes; Labridae.